This 90-nucleotide transfer RNA is filed under the name Actinoplanes sp. NBRC 14428. Its description in RNAcentral is "tRNA-Ala". Lineage: Bacteria; Bacillati; Actinomycetota; Actinomycetes; Micromonosporales; Micromonosporaceae. The record is from RNAcentral.
CGGCCUGCUCGGCGACCCGGCGGUGCUGCUGUUCGCGGUGGCCUGCGUGGUGCUCGCCAUCGCCGGCAAGUUCGGUGCCUGCUGGGCCGC